RNAcentral lists this ribosomal RNA (335 nucleotides) under uncultured soil bacterium. RNAcentral's name for it is "bacterial SSU rRNA". It matches the Rfam family "Bacterial small subunit ribosomal RNA", at positions 26 to 353 of the family's 1533-position model. The record is from RNAcentral.
AGAGUGAACGCUGGCGGUAGGCCUAACACAUGCAAGUCGAACGGCAGCACAGUAGGAGCUUGCUCUUACGGGUGGCGAGUGGCGGACGGGUGAGGAAUACAUCGGAAUCUACCUUUUGGUGGGGGAUAACGUAGGGAAACUUACGCUAAUACCGCAUACGCCCUUCGGGGGAAAGCCGGGGACCAGCAAUGGCCUGGUGCUGAUAGAUGAGCCGAUGUCGGAUUAGCUAGUUGGUGAGGUAAUGGCUCACCAAGGCGACGAUCCGUAGCUGGUCUGAGAGGAUGAUCAGCCACACUGGAACUGAGACACGGUCCAGACUCCGACGGGAGGCAGCA